UUGGCGCCAUCUUUUGAAUUUUUGAACUUGUUUUAUUAUAUAAUUAAGUGUUUGCAUUUUUUUACUAGAUGUAUUACCGCCCUAACGGUUAGAGCGUGUGUGUUAAGCCUUUGUGUGUGCAAGACGUCUGGGGUUUGAAUCCCCCUCGCCCCAGACCCAUUUUUUAUUCAUUGUUUUUUUGCCUUUUUAUUUUUUUAUUUUUCAUAACUUCAAAGGUUCAUAACUCGAUGACCCCUAAGCCUUUU
This 245-nucleotide long non-coding RNA is filed under the name Lathyrus oleraceus (garden pea). RNAcentral's name for it is "Pisum sativum (pea) long non-coding RNA (PSAT_LNC013628)". The record is from RNAcentral. Lineage: Eukaryota; Viridiplantae; Streptophyta; Magnoliopsida; Fabales; Fabaceae.